GUAGGGGGGGCGAACGUUGCUCAGAAUUACUGGGCGUAAAGGGUGUGUAGGUGGCUGAGCAAGUCGUUGAUGAAAUCCCGAGGCUUACCCUCGGAACUGUCUUCGAAACUGCUCAGCUUGAGGAUAGUUGAGGAGAACGGAAUUCCCGGUGGAGCGGUGAAAUGCGUAGAUAUCGGGAGGAACACCAGAGGCGAAGGCGGUUCUCUGGGCUAUUCCUGACACUGAAACACGAAAGCUAGGGGAGCAAACGGGAUUAGAUACCCCGGUAGUCCUAGCCGUAAACGAUGGGCACUAGAUGUUUCUACUUUGAUGUAGGGGUGUCGAAGCUAACGCGUUAAGUGCCCCGCCUGGGGAGUACGGUCGCAAAGGCUG
RNAcentral lists this ribosomal RNA (372 nucleotides) under uncultured organism. Its description in RNAcentral is "partial 16S ribosomal RNA". It matches the Rfam family "Bacterial small subunit ribosomal RNA", at positions 525 to 896 of the family's 1533-position model. The record is from RNAcentral.